Oncorhynchus kisutch (coho salmon) is the source of this 1361-nucleotide long non-coding RNA. RefSeq lists it as uncharacterized. Lineage: Eukaryota; Metazoa; Chordata; Actinopteri; Salmoniformes; Salmonidae. The record is from RefSeq and is a predicted model, not a curated record. The transcript is spliced from 4 exons.
AGACUCACCAUACAGGAAGUAGAGCGGUUUGUCAGAAGAACUGUAGUUCGGAGAUGGUCAGUGGGACAGAAUGGAGAACACCUUGCUCUGUGUGCUACUCUAGAAACCUGUUCUGACCAUCCAGCCCAACAGCACUCUGUACCCUGAAGAGACAGUUACACUGACGGUUACUCUUACUGUCCCUCCAGGUUCCGUUGUCUCCAUCUCUCUGCCCAGGCUGCUGUGUGGUCUACUGGUGAUGUCUCCCUUUCUACUGGUGUCCAUCAUGAGGAUGGCGAAAUGCUGCAGGGCUCGAGGUUUGUGUUCAACAGUCAAAUCUCCUCAAGACCAGAUACCAUGUGAUGAUGUCAUUAAACAGAACGUAUCAUCCGUGUGAUCAUUACAGUACGAACUGUAAGCUGAACAACCACUUUAAUGAUUGUAAAGUUUUUACCAUUGACAUAUGAUAGUGUUUUACUGAGUUUAAUAUCACUGAAUGGAAUUUCACAAAUGCUGAAUGUUAUGAUUUUGUAAGUUGACGUUUUCAGCUUUUGGUGGAUUGUAAGCUUCCCUUUGUUAUUGUUGAUUGAUGUAGAUUUUGAUUCAAAUAUUACACUUAUCUGUCUUUAUUUCCGUUUUUUAUUGAACAAUAGUGUAGUUCCUGCUGCAUGUGUUGUAUUUUAAAUAAUCUCAUGCUUUUUACAUGCAGGUGGAUAUAUACAGUAUGUGAAUCUUUUCUGUUUUUUAUUCUAAUUUAAAUACUAAAGAUGUGUUUAUACCUGGUUGGUCGACCUACUAUAACAGUUAAGAUGGAACACGUAGCUAUAGUUUUAUUAAAAAUGUAUAUUUGCAUAAUGCAGCUUUUAUACUUAUUAUUAUAUAAAAGGUAGACUCAGCGAAAUUACGUUGCCAAGAGUAGCACUACAGAUAUUGAGAUGAGUGAGAUGCAAGACUUCACUCUCACACAGCCACAGACAGUAUCUGCACAUAUGCACGGGUUCACUUCACGUUCACAGUCUGGUAGUCUCCGGACCAAAACAGAGGAGAAGUUGAGCCUCAUGCUUCAACGUUCUUAGUUGUUGUGGAAAUUGAAUCACUCUGCAGUUUACUUUCUACAUCUACGUCAAAUUGCCGAGUCUACCUUUAAACUCCACUUACUUUUGACUUAUUUUCAUUUUCAAAUACUGUCUAAGUAUUUUGUAAAAAGGUUUUACAGCAGAUAUACAUUUCCAACAUGUAAGUAUUUUGUCAAAUGGUUUCAGUAGUUGUUUUAGGAGCCAGAUGGGUGUUCCACUAUGGAACUUAAAAUGGAGAAGGUAUGAUGUGUUUUGUAUUAAUUCUCAUAUAUCAAAUAAAAAGUGAUGAUUCACCUCAUCAUUGUA